UGUGAAAGAAAUACCUGCUGACAGGUUAAGGAAGAGAACCCAUGUUGGCUGGAUGUACUUGCUACCUGAUUGCUGCUGGAGUGAGAACCUUUUUCAUGUCAGUUACCCCUGAAGGAUUGUGAGUGACUGAUUCUGACUAGACCCAAGAGCUAUGCAUAGUGCAAGAUUGGGUUCCAGAAGCAUCCAUCUGUCAGCAGCAGUGGGUUCUACUACAUAACAGUACUAUAAUGUGAUUGAUGCAAGUGCAGUUGCAUCCUCCUGAGGCUUCUCAGCAUGACUCAUCAUAAAGUCAGAGGGAUUUGGAAAGAUCCUGGCUUUCCAGGGAAGAAAAAUCCUCCAUUUGAGAGAGAUGAUCUGCCUUAUUUAAAUGGGAUGCAAAUACAGGUGACUGACUGCUAGACCUGCUCAAUGGAGAGCCCUCUCUGUUCCAGAUGUGUCUCUUUGGAGCCCAACACCUGCUGGAACCCAGGACUCUGAAGAGUGCAUUUAUUUUGCCACCUGAUAAAUCAUGGAAGCGUUGAUACUGACAGCAAGACUCUCUCUUUUGCUGUGUAAUACAAGUAAUUAUUACUGUUAUUGGCAAGGUCAAUGAACAAUACAUGGAGUUCUGUGUUGAUCUGUGGGUGCAUAUUGAGUUGUGUGUUGAUCAGCAUCACAUAUGGGUCAAAGCCUAUGGUUUUCUAGCCUGUGCUGUCUAAGGUCAUUCAUGCUUAACUAACCCUACUGUUUUUGACCCAUAUAAAGCCUUAUAAAAACUACUGUUUAAAAAAAAAAACCUUAAAAAUCAAUACAAUCAAUAAAAAGCAAUCUCAUUUUUUA
Long non-coding RNA from Mauremys reevesii (Reeves's turtle), 819 nucleotides. RefSeq lists it as uncharacterized. Lineage: Eukaryota; Metazoa; Chordata; Testudines; Geoemydidae. The record is from RefSeq and is a predicted model, not a curated record. The transcript is spliced from 4 exons.